RNAcentral lists this ribosomal RNA (1433 nucleotides) under Lactiplantibacillus plantarum. RNAcentral's name for it is "bacterial SSU rRNA". It matches the Rfam family "Bacterial small subunit ribosomal RNA". Lineage: Bacteria; Bacillati; Bacillota; Bacilli; Lactobacillales; Lactobacillaceae. The record is from RNAcentral.
CGAACGCUGGCGGCGUGCCUAAUACAUGCAAGUCGAACGAACUCUGGUAUUGAUUGGUGCUUGCAUCAUGAUUUACAUUUGAGUGAGUGGCGAACUGGUGAGUAACACGUGGGAAACCUGCCCAGAAGCGGGGGAUAACACCUGGAAACAGAUGCUAAUACCGCAUAACAACUUGGACCGCAUGGUCCGAGCUUGAAAGAUGGCUUCGGCUAUCACUUUUGGAUGGUCCCGCGGCGUAUUAGCUAGAUGGUGGGNUAACGGCUCACCAUGGCAAUGAUACGUAGCCGACCUGAGAGGGUAAUCGGCCACAUUGGGACUGAGACACGGCCCAAACUCCUACGGGAGGCAGCAGUAGGGAAUCUUCCACAAUGGACGAAAGUCUGAUGGAGCAACGCCGCGUGAGUGAAGAAGGGUUUCGGCUCGUAAAACUCUGUUGUUAAAGAAGAACAUAUCUGAGAGUAACUGUUCAGGUAUUGACGGUAUUUAACCAGAAAGCCACGGCUAACUACGUGCCAGCAGCCGCGGUAAUACGUAGGUGGCAAGCGUUGUCCGGAUUUAUUGGGCGUAAAGCGAGCGCAGGCGGUUUUUUAAGUCUGAUGUGAAAGCCUUCGGCUCAACCGAAGAAGUGCAUCGGAAACUGGGAAACUUGAGUGCAGAAGAGGACAGUGGAACUCCAUGUGUAGCGGUGAAAUGCGUAGAUAUAUGGAAGAACACCAGUGGCGAAGGCGGCUGUCUGGUCUGUAACUGACGCUGAGGCUCGAAAGUAUGGGUAGCAAACAGGAUUAGAUACCCUGGUAGUCCAUACCGUAAACGAUGAAUGCUAAGUGUUGGAGGGUUUCCGCCCUUCAGUGCUGCAGCUAACGCAUUAAGCAUUCCGCCUGGGGAGUACGGCCGCAAGGCUGAAACUCAAAGGAAUUGACGGGGGCCCGCACAAGCGGUGGAGCAUGUGGUUUAAUUCGAAGCUACGCGAAGAACCUUACCAGGUCUUGACAUACUAUGCAAAUCUAAGAGAUUAGACGUUCCCUUCGGGGACAUGGAUACAGGUGGUGCAUGGUUGUCGUCAGCUCGUGUCGUGAGAUGUUGGGUUAAGUCCCGCAACGAGCGCAACCCUUAUUAUCAGUUGCCAGCAUUAAGUUGGGCACUCUGGUGAGACUGCCGGUGACAAACCGGAGGAAGGUGGGGAUGACGUCAAAUCAUCAUGCCCCUUAUGACCUGGGCUACACACGUGCUACAAUGGAUGGUACAACGAGUUGCGAACUCGCGAGAGUAAGCUAAUCUCUUAAAGCCAUUCUCAGUUCGGAUUGUAGGCUGCAACUCGCCUACAUGAAGUCGGAAUCGCUAGUAAUCGCGGAUCAGCAUGCCGCGGGUGAAUACGUUCCCGGGCCUUGUACACACCGCCCGUCACACCAUGAGAGUUUGUAACACCCAAAGUC